CGGCCGCGCGCCCUCUCGCGGCACCGGGCGGGUGACACGCCAGUGAACGCGCCUGUGAACGUGCCGUGUCCCUGAGCCGCGCUUGCCGAAGGCGGGUGGCCCCCGGGGAACUUCAUAAGAAGUAGGAUGUCUCUGAGGCAUCUUCCACAUUGUCUCCCAGAGAUCCACGGAAGGAAUGAGCUCCACCUACAAAGCUGACCUACUCAUCAGCCUACUCUUUCAUAGUCCUUUUCUUCCCCGUCUCACUUCCCCACCCUUCUAUCAGUGGUCUCUGGACUCUUCUUUAAAAUAAACCACUUAUACUUAAA
Mustela erminea (ermine) is the source of this 308-nucleotide long non-coding RNA. RefSeq lists it as uncharacterized. The transcript is spliced from 2 exons. NCBI's taxonomy places the organism in Eukaryota, Metazoa, Chordata, Mammalia, Carnivora, Mustelidae. The record is from RefSeq and is a predicted model, not a curated record.